This 2327-nucleotide long non-coding RNA is filed under the name Salmo salar (Atlantic salmon). RNAcentral describes it as "lncRNA (ENSSSAG00000082231.1)". Lineage: Eukaryota; Metazoa; Chordata; Actinopteri; Salmoniformes; Salmonidae. The record is from RNAcentral.
AUCAGAAAUCCUUCCAUUUGAAGUAAAGAGACUUUUCCCCAUCUGACACACAGGCCCUUCACUAGUUUAUACCAGUAGAAUGAGAAAGUGUUACAUUUUGUUGUCCAUCCAGGCUAAUACAAAAUACAGACUCAAGAUUGUUGGUAUAAUUUGGCACCUAUAAAUUUAUUUAAAUCCAUUUAUUAGUUUAACAGUAUAAUACGGCGAUGGAAAAAAACAAAACAGAAUCAUCCUGAUAGGCUUUAUAUUUACACCAUUCAGAGUAUCUUGUGGUACCCUAUUUCCCAUAGGGCUCUGGUCAAAAGUAGUGCACUACAUAGGAGUGCCAUUAGGUCCUAAUAAAAAUGAGUGCACUACAUGGGGAAUAGGGCACCAUUUGACAGAUCCAGAGUAUCUAAGCCUCUGAUUGUUACUUUUCUCUUGAAGUGUUCUCAAACUGCAUCUUUCAUGGCACCCUACACCCUAUAUAUAGUGGCCGUCUAUGGGCUCCGGUCAAAAAGUUGUGCACUAUAUAGGGAAUACUGUAGGGUACCAUUUUGGACGAUACCGAUGCAAACAACAUUCUCUACAGAAAACAUCCAUUCUAGCUGACUAAUAAGAGCACAGUCAAUGGGUUUGCAUUUCCUUGACUUGCCAUGGUGCUACAUAUGAUCAAAACAGCUAUGCUGGUAGAGAUAACAUUCAUGAAUCUGCUUCCUCCUCAUAGCCUGGUCCCAGAUCUGUUUGUGCUGUAUAGCUCAAUAUCCAUAGCCUGGGUACUAGUCUGUUUAGCUAGCAUGCCACUCAUUGUAUUCUGAGUGAUGCGUGGAAUGCUAGCUAAACAGAGACUGGUACUCAGGCUACUACAAUGACCGUAGGCUAGACAACACAGAUCUUGGACCACAAGGCUAUCCUCCUAUAGCUUUCUCCGUGUCUCGUGUUACCAUAUCUUGAAUACUAAGUAUUGUUCAUCAGCGAGGAAAAAGCCUGGAAUCCAGGUUACAUUGAUGCUAACAAAAUGGGAAUGUUUUGAAUAAACUGGAUUCCACGGGAGUUUAACAAAAUGGUGUAAAUGAAUUUUUCCAUACAGACUUUCAUCUGUGUCCUGACAUGAGAUCACAGAUUAAAUAUGUCUGUUUUCAAUUAAGCACGUCGAGAUGAUUGUCACAUUGUUUAUUCAAGAACAAAUGUUACAAACCCCCAAAACUGUGUUUGCUAAACUAACACAAUCAAAAUCAGACAUGGAAUUUGAAUUGCACUUUUCAUUCCAACUAAAAAAUAAUUCUGUAAACAAUUGAUUACAUUUGAUCUGUUUUUGAUUACAAACUAUUGACUACACAGAUGUUACUAAAUUGUUCAGAAUAUUUUACUUGCAUGUACAUCUAUAAGUCAUUUUAUACCAUGAUUUAAAAAAAAAAUGUUUGUUGUGCAAAAUGCUUUAGUAAACUAUAAUUUUGGCAUUUAUGAAAAACCACAACAAAAAAAUAAAAUAAAAAUCGGUGAAAAAAAAAAGAAAUUAUGGAUUUUCAGAACCUCUUGGAAAUAUUCCAUGGCACCCUGUUCCCUAUGUAGUGCACUAUAUAGGGAAUAGGGUUCUAUAGUGCCCUGGUCUAAAGUAGUGCACUAUAUAGGGAAUAGGGUGCCAUUUGGGAAGCAGCCCAUUGUUUUUCAUGCUCCACAUUACUUAAUAAAUAUCUGUCUCCAUCUGUAAUACUGUGCAAAAUUAUGGGUUCAGGAAGUGCAAGCAGUUCAGCCGACCAAUCAAACAACAUCUCCUCCUGCAAGAUUCUAGCUGGUGAGGUCGCAUUAGCUAAGGCUGAUACUUGGUUGGUGGGUUUUGUGUUUCGACCUAUGGCAACCCACAGUGGACCACAGGACCAGAAGUUGAAGUGUUCGAAUCAUCUUUCAGGCAAUAUUAAUAACAACCACACUACCAAGUCUGAAACCUGUACUUGGAGAUUCACAUUAAAACUCACACUAAUCAUCAUUAAAACAGCACUGUUGUGAAUGAUGGGGAAGAUCAAUAACACCCUACAAAGGAAGUUAUUGUGAAAAACAUUUUGGCAUAUUGGCAACAUUAACACUUACAUUCCGCGUAUAAGUAACCCAUUUCAAAAGCUAGAAUUGACACCCUUGUUACAACGUACCUUGGAUUUCUGUGACAGAAUUACAGGCUAAAAGAAACUGAUGAAGACAAAGACACAAGGCCCCUUUUAGAAUGAAGGAAUGUGAGGAUGCUCUAUGGUAGAAUGAAGGAAUGUCAGGAUGCUCUAUGGUAGAAUGAAGGAAGGUGAGGAUGCUCUAUGGUAGAAUGAAGGAAGGUGAGGAUGCUCUAUGGUAGAAUGAAG